Molecule: ribosomal RNA, 253 nt
Filed under: uncultured bacterium
Lineage: Bacteria
Description: partial 16S ribosomal RNA
Rfam family: Bacterial small subunit ribosomal RNA
Source: RNAcentral
UACGGAGGAGGCAAGCGUUAUCCGGAAUUAUUGGGCGUAAAGCGUCCGCAGGUGGCACCUCAAGUCUGCUGUCAAAGACCGGGGCUUAACCCCAGAAAGGCAGUGGAAACUGAAGUGCUAGAGUGCAGUAGGGGUAGAGGGAAUUCCCGGUGUAGCGGUGAAAUGCGUAGAGAUCGGGAAGAACAUCGGUGGCGAAAGCGCUCUGCUGGACUGCAACUGACACUCAGGGACGAAAGCUAGGGGAGCGAAAGGG